This 739-nucleotide ribosomal RNA is filed under the name uncultured Enterobacteriaceae bacterium. RNAcentral's name for it is "bacterial SSU rRNA". It matches the Rfam family "Bacterial small subunit ribosomal RNA", at positions 761 to 1502 of the family's 1533-position model. Lineage: Bacteria; Pseudomonadati; Pseudomonadota; Gammaproteobacteria; Enterobacterales; Enterobacteriaceae. The record is from RNAcentral.
GUGGGAGCAAACAGGAUUAGAUACCUGGUAGUCCACGCCGUAAACGAUGUCGACUUGGAGGUUGUGCCCUUGAGGCGUGGCUUCCGGAGCUAACGCGUUAAGUCGACCGCCUGGGGAGUACGGCCGCAAGGUUAAAACUCAAAUGAAUUGACGGGGGCCCGCACAAGCGGUGGAGCAUGUGGUUUAAUUCGAUGCAACGCGAAGAACCUUACCUACUCUUGACAUCCAGAGAACUUUCCAGAGAUGGAUUGGUGCCUUCGGGAACUCUGAGACAGGUGCUGCAUGGCUGUCGUCAGCUCGUGUUGUGAAAUGUUGGGUUAAGUCCCGCAACGAGCGCAACCCUUAUCCUUUGUUGCCAGCGGCUAGGCCGGGAACUCAAAGGAGACUGCCAGUGAUAAACUGGAGGAAGGUGGGGAUGACGUCAAGUCAUCAUGGCCCUUACGAGUAGGGCUACACACGUGCUACAAUGGCGUAUACAAAGAGAAGCGACCUCGCGAGAGCAAGCGGACCUCAUAAAGUACGUCGUAGUCCGGAUUGGAGUCUGCAACUCGACUCCAUGAAGUCGGAAUCGCUAGUAAUCGUAGAUCAGAAUGCUACGGUGAAUACGUUCCCGGGCCUUGUACACACCGCCCGUCACACCAUGGGAGUGGGUUGCAAAAGAAGUAGGUAGCUUAACCUUCGGGAGGGCGCUUACCACUUUGUGAUUCAUGACUGGGGUGAAGUCGUAACAAGGUAACCA